UUGGCCGGCGCCGCGAAGCGAAGAAGUGUUUGCACCGGUAGAACAAGAGAAAAGAAAUUG
RNAcentral lists this ribosomal RNA (60 nucleotides) under Swertia chirayita. RNAcentral's name for it is "partial 18S ribosomal RNA". Lineage: Eukaryota; Viridiplantae; Streptophyta; Magnoliopsida; Gentianales; Gentianaceae. The record is from RNAcentral.